Small nucleolar RNA from Abrus precatorius (Indian licorice), 107 nucleotides. Lineage: Eukaryota; Viridiplantae; Streptophyta; Magnoliopsida; Fabales; Fabaceae. The record is from RefSeq and is a predicted model, not a curated record.
AAACCAUGGUGUGGACACUUCCUUAUAAGUUCUCUAAACCGCUCCUAGUCUUCUUAUAGAGAUUCAGACUCAUAUUGCUUGUAACUUGAUAUUUCUGCAAUUAGCUU